GUAGGGAAUAUUGGGCAAUGGUCGGAAGACUGACCCAGCCAUGCCGCGUGCAGGAAGACGGCCCUCUGGGUUGUAAACUGCUUUUAUCUGGGAAGAAAAAGGCCAUGCGUGGCAAAUUGCCGGUACCAGAUGAAUAAGCACCGGCUAACUCCGUGCCAGCAGCCGCGGUAAUACGGAGGGUGCGAGCGUUGUCCGGAUUUAUUGGGUUUAAAGGGUGCGUAGGCGGCUGAUUAAGUCAGCGGUGAAAGACUUCGGCUUAACCGGAGCAGUGCAGUUGAUACUGGUUGGCUUGAGUGUCGGAGGGGUACAUGGAAUUGAUGGUGUAGCGGUGAAAUGCAUAGAUACCAUCAGGAACACCGAUAGCGAAGGCAUUGUACUGGCCGACAACUGACGCUGAUGCACGAAAGUGUGGGGAUCGAACAGGAUUAGAAACCCCUGUAGUCC
RNAcentral lists this ribosomal RNA (444 nucleotides) under uncultured bacterium. Its description in RNAcentral is "partial 16S ribosomal RNA". It matches the Rfam family "Bacterial small subunit ribosomal RNA", at positions 354 to 796 of the family's 1533-position model. The record is from RNAcentral.